GGCGUGCUAUGGCAGCCCCGAGGGGCAGCCCAGACCCAGGGGAGAAGGACAAAGUCCGGGCAGGAAUCAAACAUCUGGAUCCAGAUGUGCAGACUUCAUCUGAAGGACACAGAGGGGUUGGACUUGAGAUCAGCUGGCUUCCAAAAUCCUCUCAUUUGCAACAGUUACUUUAUCCUCCCUGUGCACAGUGAUACAGUGUAACAGAGGAGCUCUUGUCUUCAGUCUCACCUUUGGAUGUUCAUUGCCAGUUCCUCCAGGCUUCCAGGGCAGCCUCUUCAGCGCAGACUCUUUGGCUCUGUGAGACAGACUCACACAGACUCUGCAGUGAGCCUUCGAACUUCAAUUGGAUCCCUGGAUCUCCAGAGCUCAGUUGACCACUUUGCAUUCUUCCAUCCCUGAGGCCACAAACAGUCAUUGUAAGUCUACCUAGUG
RNAcentral lists this long non-coding RNA (432 nucleotides) under Heterocephalus glaber (naked mole-rat). RNAcentral's name for it is "lncRNA (ENSHGLG00100050319.1)". The record is from RNAcentral. Lineage: Eukaryota; Metazoa; Chordata; Mammalia; Rodentia; Bathyergidae.